Non-coding RNA from Mugil cephalus (flathead mullet), 930 nucleotides. The record is from the annotation of a RefSeq genome assembly. NCBI's taxonomy places the organism in Eukaryota, Metazoa, Chordata, Actinopteri, Mugiliformes, Mugilidae.
AUGCUCUCACACUGAAAACUGCAUCAGGAUGAUGUUUCCAAUAACUCUGAUUGUCAUGUUGGGUUUUCUGACUCAGGAGUCGUUUGCCAACAAUUUUCUGACUCAGGCUGAUAAAUACAAGUCUGUCAGUGUUGGAGGGACUGUGACCAUCAGCGCCACAGGGAGUUCAGAUAUUGGUGAUGAUCUCAGUUGGUACCUUCAGAAACCUGGACAGCCUCCUAGACUUCUUAUAUACGACUCAUCAACUGUCUACUCAGGAACUCCAUCUAGAUUCAGAGGCAGUAGAUCUGGUUCUCAGUACACUUUAACCAUCAGUGGAUUUCAGGCUGAAGAUGCUGGAGAUUAUUACUGUCUUGGUGCCCAUGGUGAUGGGUUCACUUUUGGUGGAGGAACCAAACUCACCGUUGACUUGGGUGUGGUGCGUCCCACCCUGAGCGUCCUCCCCCCCUCCAGAGAGGAGCUGCAGCAGAGCAGUGCCACACUGGUUUGUCUGGCCAGCGGGGGCUUCCCCUCGACCUGGAGUCUGGGCUGGAAGGUGGGGGGCAGCAGCAGGUCCUCGGGGGUGUCCCGCAGCGUGGAGGUCCUGGGGGGGGACGGCCACUACAGCUGGAGCAGCUCCCUGAGCCUCACUGCAGACCAGUGGAGGAAGGCGGGCUCAGUGAGCUGUGAGGCCAGUCUGAAUGGACAGAGCCCUGUCACUCAAACCCUGGAGCCUGACCGCUGCUCAGAGUAGAGUUUCAGCAACACUUCCUGUCUGGAAAUUAUGCUUCUGAUACUUUCAUCAAGCUGCACAUCUUCUCUCUUCUGAUAUUUGCUCAACACGCGACCGUCCUUUCAUUUCUGCACGAUUCUGCUCUUUAACAAUUAUUAUAAAAAUGCUGAUGAAAUUUCAUGCGCAUGAAAGAAUAAACUGACAUUUAAUAAAAUCAC